GACGAACGCUGGCGGCGUGCUUAACACAUGCAAGUCGAACGGAAAGGCCCUGCUUUUGUGGGGUGCUCGAGUGGCGAACGGGUGAGUAACACGUGAGUAACCUGCCCUUGACUUUGGGAUAACUUCAGGAAACUGGGGCUAAUACCGGAUAGGAGCUCCUGCUGCAUGGUGGGGGUUGGAAAGUUUCGGCGGUUGGGGAUGGACUCGCGGCUUAUCAGCUUGUUGGUGGGGUAGUGGCUUACCAAGGCUUUGACGGGUAGCCGGCCUGGGAGGGGGACCGGCCACAUUGGGACUGAGGUACGGCCCAGACUCCUACGGGAGGCAGCAGUGGGGAAUAUGGCACAAUGGGCGGAAGCCUGAGGCAGCAACGCCGCGUGCGGGAUGACGGCCUUCGGGUUGUAAACCGCUUUCGCCUGUGACGAAGCGUGAGUGACGGUAAUGGGUAAAGAAGCACCGGCUAACUACGUG
Molecule: ribosomal RNA, 468 nt
Filed under: uncultured bacterium
Lineage: Bacteria
Description: partial 16S ribosomal RNA
Rfam family: Bacterial small subunit ribosomal RNA
Source: RNAcentral